AUGAUGAUGGUUCUCCACCUUCUAAGAGACCAAAGACCAACAAGCUACCAUAGCCACCAUUCCAGAACCUGCCAAUGCUGGGCAACAGAAAGUGAGGGGUUCAACUUUGUAACCCCAGUGGGCCUCCAUUGUCUCCAAGUCAACUUUCCUCCUCAUCUACAACUCCUCCAUACCAGCCCUGAACACCUGUUAACACCUGAACUAGUUAUUUGCUACUUCCCUCCUGGAAUGGCUAGUAAAAUAAACACUAAAGGUAAGAGAUUACAUGUACUUCUUAUUAAAUUUCACUACAUUAAGACAUUCUUUAUCAGCAUUCCAGAAAUCAUAGAGAAUCAUUGGCCAAUAUCUUUGUGGGACUUGCAGUUAGUUUCUUGGCUUUUUAAGGUAUUUUAUUUAAUGGACCUUUCUUUUCCUUUUUUUUAAAAAAAAAAAAAAAAUUCAUUGGAAGUGUCACUUUUGCAGUCCCACUUCAUUCAUGUUUCCAUGGCUUUUUUGAGCCUCCCUGUGGAGGAUUAGACUACCAGUUUGAUUUUGCAGGUUUCUUUGAAAAGAGCCAAACUGUAUGAAUUUUAAUACUCUGCUUCUAGAAAGGAUCUCCUUCCGUAUGUUUUUUCCUACAAUAUACUAAAGUAAUUCUGUGCCUGUUUUACAGCUUUGCAGUCCCCUAAAAGACCAUGAAGCCCUGAGAGGAAUGAAAAGGUUCCUGAAAUUGAGGUCACUGUGGAAGGUAAGGGCCAGUCCUUGGCAUGUUUCUGUUGAUUCUCCAUUCAAUAAUUAUGUCAGUUCUCUAGCUAUAUGUUUAUACAGAUGUAGUUAACCAAACUAGUUUUACAUGUGAACAGAUGCCUGUGAUAAAGCUAAAUUUCUAAAUGUUUUUAAUUGAAAUUUUGAAAAUCAUUAACAGUAAAUAAAUAACAUGGAUCACAUCAUAAACUGCACUCAAAUCCCUAAAAUGUUUUUCCUUUAUUACAGCAAAUAGGGGUCCAGAGGGUCACGUGGAAUGUUUCUUCAUCUUCUGUCUUCUUUGUUUUUUCUGUUAUUUUAAGGAAAGAAAGUUUAGGGAUAGUUUAAACAGCUGUGCCUGGAAUGAAAGUAUUUCAUACAAUACCUGUAAUAUACUUCCUUCUCUCCAUGCCCAUGGGGUCUGCAGGGUUCUCAUCUUUGCAUGUUUACAGUAUUAAAAUACUUCAUACAAUACCAAAGACUAGUUCCCGACCAACCAUCAAAUGUGAGUAUUUUUUCCGUCUUCUCAUAAAUGCAAAAGGAAAUAACUGCAUUAGGAUCGUUCUUUUUUUUUUUUUUUUUUUGAGACAGAUUGGGACUCUAGGAAUAAUCUUACCAGGAAUAACUUGAGGAUUAUUUGCUACUGCAGCCCGUUGUGAUUUUCCAAAUAGGGAGAUGCCUGUUUUUCUCACAUAAAAAUGAUUGAGCAGGUAGACUGAGGCUGACAUUGGUUCAGUAGCUCCAAGAUGGUAUGAGUGGCUUCCCUGUGCUUCUCUUCACUUUCCUUUCUGGUGCACGGUGACUGAGGGAGCUCCUGUUAUGUCUCCAUCCAAACAGGACAUACAUAAGUAAAGAAAAUGUAGCUUGAGAGCAGCCUGCACCCAUGGUCUGGAAAAAUAAGAGGCCUUUUUUGAAUCCUAGCAGAAUUUUGCAUAAGUCUCUUGGUUUUAAAAAAGAUGAGUUUUAAAAUAAUGAAGCACAAACUCUGAGGCCAAAGUGAUAGGAUUUAAAUCUGUGCUCUGCCACUUAGGAAAAUUCCUUAAGUUCUCUGUUCUUUAGGUCGAACACCUGUAAAAUGGGAGGAGGAAAAUAAUAUUUGACUCAUGGUUUUUAAAAAUUGAUAUGUUAAAGGCUGGGCGCAGUGGCUCACACUUGUAAUCCUGGAACUUUGGGAGGCCAAGGCAGGUUCCAGGCCAACUUCCAGGUUCCCUUCACUGCCUGCUCUGCAGUGAAGGGUGAAUUUGGAACUGACGGGCAGUCAUUGGACCCUAGAAGUGAGUUCCUUAAAUGCUUCCUCUGUCACCUGGUGCAUUAUUAAAUGUUGUCAAUACAUGGUGCUAGAGGAACAUUGUAAGAGGCUUUUCUUUCUGGUUGUGGUGUGCAAAUCUCCACAGGCAGUGAUCUUCUCCAGCACCAGGCUCCUAUCCUGCACGGUGCUCAGCAGCACCCGGUGACCGGCAGUUUCUCUGCAUUUGCCUGGGUGAUUUUAUAGUGAGACUGUUCAUUAAUAGCUUAAGGUACCAUCCUAGAUGGUGGAUUUUCAGCAAAUUUCAGAGGGCAUGUUGCCAGCAUGUUCCACCAUGUGGUAAUGCAGCAAAUCUGUCAUUGAAUUACCCAUGACGGUGCCCCCUAGAGAGGGUUUCUCCAUGUUGGUCAGGCUGGUCUCGAACUCCGGACCUCAAGUGAUCCACCUGACUCAGCCUCUCAAAGUGCUAGGAUUACAGAUGUGAGCUACCAUACCCAGCUAGCUGUAUUUCUUUAUUGCCCUCCCUCUUUUUUUUUUUGAGCCCUAGUGAGGAAUUCCUUCCUUGGUCACUCUGUUCUCCAAUGUAGGCGACCAGUAGUGACAGUGUAACUGCUCAUUGUUACUUCCAGGCUUGGGCGAAACCUUAAUGGCUUUUUUUUUUUUUUUUGAGACAGUGGUCUCCUCUGUUGCCUCAGGCUAAAGUGCAGUGGUGAAAUCAUGGCUUGCUCAAGCAAUCCUUUCACCUCAUCCUCCCAAGUAGCUAGGAUUAGAAACGUGUGCCACACACCUGGCCUUUUUUUUUUUUUUUUUUUUUUUGUAGAGACAGGGUCUCACUGUGUUUCUCAGGCUGGUCUGAAACUGCUGGCCUCAAGCAAUCCUCUUGCCUUGGCUUCCCAAAUUGCGGGAAUUAUAAGCAUGAGCCACCAUGCCCGGCCUCUGCUAGUCUUACGUUCUCUAGCGUUCUCUUUACUUAUGUAGCUAAUCUCUCAUUACGGUGUUACCCUUAUAGUUAAUAAUUUUUUAUUUUAAAUUUUACCACUUUAAACUUUGGGUGGUUUAUGUCUAUGGUUGGACUCUGACAAAUACAGAAUUGAUGCUAGGAAGGGUCCCAGGAGAUAGACCCACACAGAUGGGAUUUGGGCAUAGGUUUGGUUAUCCAAGGGGCAGCGUCGAGGUCCUUGCCAAUGGGAAAUGGGAUGCAGGUGAUUUUUAGGAAGGGACCUCAUAAUGUUUCAAGCUUCCAGUUACUGUUCAUUGUGAUGAAAUGCCAGCUGAGGCACAUGCCUUGGGAGCUAAGUGACUUCUGUAUUUGCCCACUGAGAAGACUGUGUGGGAAGGGUCCUUUUGGAUGCACUUGAGCCCAUAAUCCCUGAAUCACUGGUCAAUACUUGGCAUUAAUUGGAUCAGAUAAUUAUUUUAUGAAGAAUUUUCAUAUGCCACCAUCCUGACCAUAUCUUUAAGUGAAUAGAAAAAUUCUAUUAAAAAGUCAACCUUCUGUCUCACUCUGUUGCCCAGACGGGAGUGCAGUGGUACAGUUAUGGCUCACUGCAGCUUCAACCUUCUGGGCUCAAGCAGUCCUGCCUCUGCCUCACGAGUAGCUGGGACUAGAGAUGCUUGUCACCACACCUCACUAAUGUUCUCCUUUUUCCUAUAUGUGGAUUCCACAGGUCUGACUUCGAAAACUUGAGUAUGCAUGGAUUUUGGUAUACACAGAAAUGGAGAAGCUGGAACCAAUCCCCCCAUAUACCAAGGGACAAAUUGUAUCUGUUUUUUGUUGUUGUUGUUGUUGUUGUUGUUCGUUUUUUGAGACAGAGUCUUGCUCUGUUGCCCAGGCUGGAGUGCAAUGGCACAAUCUUGGCUCACUUCAACCUCCACCUCCUGGGUUCAAGCGACUCUUCUGCCUCAGUUUCCUGAGUGGCUAAGAUUACAGGUACCCACCGUCAUGCCUAGCUAAUUUUUGCAUUUUUGUAGAGACGGGGUUUCACCAUGUUGGCCAGGUUAGUCUUGAACUUCUGACCUUAGAUGAUCCACCUGCCUUGGCCACUCAAAGUUCUGGGAUUACAAGUGUAAGCCACUGUGCCUGGCUUUUUUUUUUUUUUUUUUUUGAGAUGGGGUUUUGCUCUCUUUUGCCUAGGCUGGAGAGCAAUAGUGUGCUCUCAGCUCACCACAACCUCCACCUCCCAGGUUCAAGCGAGUCUCCUGCCUCAGCCUCCCAAGUAGCUUGGAUUACAGGCACCACCAUGCCUGGCUAAUUUUGUGUUUUUUAGUAGAGACGGGGUUUCUCCAUGUUGGUCAGGCUGGUCUCAAACUCCCAAGCUCAGGUGAUCCACCCGCUUUGGCCUCCCAAACUGUUGGGAUUACAAAUGUGAGCCACCGUGCCCGGCCUCUCUGUUUUUACAAUUAUACUGUUAAAUACAUGAUGUUCCAUGACAGUGGUAAUUUUUAAUGACAAUUUUUAACUGAGUGGAAUUAACAUAAAAAUAAUAAAGGUAGCAGCUAAUCUUUAAUGAGCUGUUACUAGGUGCCUAUAAAUACCAUAGAUUUUUAAAUUCCCCACAUCUCUUAUUUCACUUAACCACUCCAUAUUAAAUUACUCAGGCUUGCUUCAGGAACACAUAUACUAAAGUUGGAACAAUAGAAAGAUUGGCAUGGCCUCUGUGCAAGAAUGACAUGCAAAUUUAUGAAGCAUUCCAUAUGUUUUUAAAACAGAGAAAAAUAUUACUCCUGUGUUUGUGCAUAUGACCUUUGUUCAGGUUGAAUUAUAUCCAAAGGUGAUAUUUCCAAAAAUGAGAUUACUGCGAGUCACAAGGCAUUAGCAUUCUUAUUACACUUGAUGUAAAUUGCCCAGCUUUCAGCCAUGGUGGCUGUCGGCCUAUAAUUCUAGCACUUUGGGAGGCUGAGGUGGGAGGAUUGCUUGAGGCCAGGAGUUGGGGGAGGCUGUAUAGUGAGUCAUUUUAUCAUUUUUUAAAAAUUUCCAAGCUUUACCCUGGAAGGCUUAUAUACAAUUUAAACACGACUAAUGGUACAAGAAAAUGCCCAUUUCACUGCACCUUUGCUGGCACAGGGUAUUAUAACUUAAAAAGUUAUUUUUUGUUUGAUUAUUUUUAGUAAAUAAAAGACCUCAUAUUACUUUAUUUUUGUCACAUUUUAAUAUAUUUUCUUAUGUUAGCUUAUUAGCUUUCUUUUUUGUUUGUUUUAAAGAUGAAAUUUCACUCUUGUUGUCCAGACUGGAGUGCAAUGGC
Aotus nancymaae (Ma's night monkey) is the source of this 5211-nucleotide long non-coding RNA. Lineage: Eukaryota; Metazoa; Chordata; Mammalia; Primates; Aotidae. The record is from Ensembl.